UACGAAGGGGGCUAGCGUUGCUCGGAAUUACUGGGCGUAAAGCGCACGUAGGCGGCUUUCUAAGUCGGGGGUGAAAUCCUGGAGCUCAACUCCAGAACUGCCUUCGAUACUGGAGAGCUCGAGUCCGGGAGAGGUGAGUGGAACUGCGAGUGUAGAGGUGAAAUUCGUAGAUAUUCGCAAGAACACCAGUGGCGAAGGCGGCUCACUGGCC
This 211-nucleotide ribosomal RNA is filed under the name uncultured bacterium. Its description in RNAcentral is "partial 16S ribosomal RNA". It matches the Rfam family "Bacterial small subunit ribosomal RNA", at positions 524 to 734 of the family's 1533-position model. The record is from RNAcentral.